Non-coding RNA from Vidua macroura (Pin-tailed whydah), 532 nucleotides. NCBI's taxonomy places the organism in Eukaryota, Metazoa, Chordata, Aves, Passeriformes, Viduidae. The record is from the annotation of a RefSeq genome assembly.
AUGGGAGAGGCUCCAAAACCCACCCAAAUCCCGACCCUCGGCCCCGAAUUUUGGCGCUUCCUCCUCCUCCUGCUCCUCGCGCGCGGGCCACGCCCGGAUCCGACGCCUCAUCCCCACGUCCCCCUCUGUCCCGCGGGGCUCCGGGCGGCCGUGACCCUGCUGGAGUCCGGGGGGGACCUCCAGCCCCCCGGGGGGUCCCUGCGCCUCCUCUGCCGCGCCUCGGGGUUCACUUUCGGGAGCUACGACAUGCUCUGGGUGCGCCCAGAGACCCGGGCAGGGCUGGAGUGGCUCGCGGGCAUCUACAGCGAUGGUGCUUACACGCGUACGCGCCGUCGGUGAAGGGCCGGUUCGGGAUCUCCAGGGCCAACGGGCAGAGCUCGGUGACGCUGACCAUGAACGGCCUCAAGGACGAGAUUCCGGCUCCUAUUUCUGUGCCAAACGUGCUGGUGCUUAUGCUGGUUAUAAUGAUGCCUAUGGUAUUGGCAUUGGAGAUUUGGGGCCAAGAAUUCAAAUUUUGGGGGCCGAGAGUUGA